UGGGGAAUAUUGGACAAUGGGCGCAAGCCUGAUCCAGCCAUGCCGCGUGAGUGAUGAAGGCCCUAGGGUUGUAAAGCUCUUUCACCGGUGAAGAUAAUGACGGUAACCGGAGAAGAAGCCCCGGCUAACUUCGUGCCAGCAGCCGCGGUAAUACGAAGGGGCUAGCGUUGUUCGGAUUUACUUGGCGUAAAGCGCACGUAGGCGGACUUUUAAGUCAGGGGUGAAAUCCCGGGGGUCAACCCCGGAACUGCCUUUGAUACUGGAAGUCUUGAGUAUGGUAGAGGUGAGUGGAAUUCCGAGUGUAGAGGUGAAAUUCGUAGAUAUUCGGAGGAACACCAGUGGCGAAGGCGGCUCACUGGACCAUUACUGACGCUGAGGUGCGAAAGCGUGGGGAGCAAACAGG
RNAcentral lists this ribosomal RNA (403 nucleotides) under Actinomycetes bacterium. RNAcentral describes it as "Actinobacteria bacterium partial 16S ribosomal RNA". It matches the Rfam family "Bacterial small subunit ribosomal RNA", at positions 355 to 776 of the family's 1533-position model. The record is from RNAcentral. Lineage: Bacteria; Bacillati; Actinomycetota; Actinomycetes.